CCUUUGCAAUGUGCGCAAGCACGACAAGGUUAAUCCGAGUGUUUCCUGUUAAAGGAAUCUUUUGUUAGUUCUAAAACCACUGAUGAAUAAGGGGUGGGCAAGUUCUGGUGUCAGCCGCCGCGGUAAAACCAGCACCUCAAGUGGUCAGGAUGAUUAUUGGGCCUAAAGCAUCCGUAGCCUGUUCUGUAAGUUUCCGGUUAAAUCCAUUAGCUCAACUAAUGGGCUGCCGAAAAUACUGCAAAAACUGGGAGUGGGAGAGGUAGACGGUACUCGGUAGGAAGGGGUAAAAUCCUUUGAUCUAUUGAUGACCACCUGUGGCGAAGGCGGUCUACCAGAACACGUUCGACGGUGAGGGAUGAAAGCUGGGGGAGCAAACCGGGAUUA
Molecule: ribosomal RNA, 384 nt
Filed under: uncultured crenarchaeote
Lineage: Archaea; Thermoproteati; Thermoproteota
Description: bacterial SSU rRNA
Rfam family: Archaeal small subunit ribosomal RNA
Source: RNAcentral